UUACUUCUGGCUGUAAUGGUUUGAGCAUUGGACUAUGACUCUGAAGAUUAGGGUUCAAAUCCCUACAAGGCCA
Phrynosoma platyrhinos (Desert horned lizard) is the source of this 73-nucleotide non-coding RNA. NCBI's taxonomy places the organism in Eukaryota, Metazoa, Chordata, Lepidosauria, Squamata, Phrynosomatidae. The record is from the annotation of a GenBank genome assembly.